Long non-coding RNA from Brassica napus (rape), 1841 nucleotides. RefSeq lists it as uncharacterized. NCBI's taxonomy places the organism in Eukaryota, Viridiplantae, Streptophyta, Magnoliopsida, Brassicales, Brassicaceae. The transcript has 6 exons. The record is from RefSeq and is a predicted model, not a curated record.
GUCACGCCCACUUCUCGAAACGGCUCACACCUUUGUCGUCUCCGUUUCGUAUCCCUGCAAAUCUCCGUUACCACAACCCUUUCUUUGUCAAUCAAUUAUAUCCUUUACUCCUUUUUUAUGGUUUCCUUUCACCUCCUCCCUAUGUAUCUUCUCCUAUGAAGAUCGUUUCUUCAAAAUUUUAACUCAAACCAAAAUCGAAAAACCUCCACUAACGAAGCUUCAUAACUCGUGCCCUGUUUGUCAUAUGAGUUCCCCACAGACGAUGCUGAUUACGAGUUCAUGACUCAUGGAGGUCAGACCAGUGGGGAAGUCGGACAACGAACGGUUGAGAGUUCGCCUACGCCUAGGAGGUUUAGUGUAUCAUAUCCAUGGCCACUCAGGAGACAUGAUACGAAUUAGGAUUCUGGGAGUGGAUCUGAUAUCGAUACUAGAAAUUCAUGGCAUACACUGAAAUUCUCUAAACAUUUGAAGAUCAAGAGGAGUUAAAAGAGAUUUUGACCUUCGAAUGCUAGCAAGAAGGCGGAUCAAUGGGAAGCUUUUCGAAUAUACUCUGUACACAUUCCUUUUACCUGUCCUUCUCUCCAAUAUUUGUGUUGCCAGUGUUAACAAUGGGUUACGGAGAUGGGGAAGAAGCUUGCAGAGAGGAUAAGGAAGCAAAGGGCCUUACAUUGUCCUGACUCUAAUUGUGGCUUUGAGAAUUUAUUUUCUACACCGAAGAAAAGAAGAAGCCAGUGACUGUUUUAACGUUUUGUUGUCUUCUAGGCUCUUUAAAUGUUCUUAAAACUGGUGUUUUGAUGAUUAUGUGCCUCAUAUUUGUUUUUCUUUCUAUGGAUAGGUUAAAUCACAGCUCAUUGAAUGAAAAAAAGUACCUAACUCCGUAUUUUCCAGUGGUCUUACAUAAUUAUCUCCAAUGGGAUCAGGGGCUUUAUGCUACUGUCGAUAUACUACAGAUUCCACCAACAUCAUAUCUUCAAAGCCAAAAAGGGGGAAGAUGAACAUGGCGACUUGAAGCCAGCCUCUAUCGCUGAGGGUGGAAACUGCAGCAUACCAUAGUAGACACUAGAAGGUGCUCGCAGGUUGAAGCAAAAGAAGUUUUCUUUUCUGUUACAAAGCUUUCCCAAUCUAAAGACAUUGGUUUGGGAGAAAACGGUUUCCUUGAUCAUAAAGGAACUUCUUCCAUCAGCUGAUAAGGUUCGUAGUUUGUAAUUUGCCUAAGUAGCUGAAUCCUAACACUAAUACUGAAGGUAUAGUUUCUGAAUUCUGAUAAGUUGUUUGUUUUUCUAUGGUUAGUAUUGUUACAAGCUCCCUGAUCAGCGAUAUGAAUAGCAAGAUUGAUAUGUAUCUUGCAAAUGGUAUAUCUCUUUAAUACCGAAUAAUAGACGAAACCUUUUUUACACAAAUUAAGUGGUACUUGAUACAAGCGAUUGUGGAUAAGAACUAUGUUGUUUCAAGCUCUGUUAGUAAGUUCUUUUGCAUGCUUCUUAGUUGCAAAACCAAAACUCAGGUUAUGCUGCAAAAUGAUUAGUUUCAUAAAUAUCAGCUUCUACAUUGGUAUAUAUGUAGAAAAAGAAGAGAAAAAAGAAAAGCUUACAAGGAUUAAGGAUGUUAAGGGGCUUUAAAAGGAUAAAGCACUGCAAGAAAUGAACGACAAGAGCAGCAUUUUGAAGUAUUGGACAUAACGCGUGUUUUUUUUAAUCUUGGGAGUAUUCCUUAUGUAUUGCUAUUAGAUUACUUGAUAAGAUAAGAAAUGUAUUUCUUAAUUGGUUUCACCAGUGCGAACAAUCACAAAAUUAUAAUUUGUUCUUCCUUCUUUCAGGUUAUAAUGAUUGGUUGUUAUUUGA